GACGAACGCUGGCGGCGUGCCUAAUACAUGCAAGUCGAACGCUUCUUUCCUCUCCAGUGCUUGCUCUCUAUUGGAACGAGGAGUGGAGGACGGGUGAGUAACACGUUGGUAAUCUACCCAUUAGAGGGGGAUAACACUUGGACACAGUUGCUAAUACCGCAUAACAGUUUAUGCCGCAUGGCAUCAGAGUGAAAGGCGCUUUCGGGUGUUGCUGAUGGAUGGACCCGCGGUGCAUUAGCUAGUUGGUUGGGUAACGGCUCACCAUGGCCGUGAUGCAUUGCCGACCGGUGAGGGUGAUCGGGCACUCGGGGAUUGAGAGACGGCCCAGACACCUAGGGGAGGCAGCAGUAGGGAAUCUUCGACAAUGGGCGAAAGUCUGACCAAGCGACGGCACGUGAGUGAAGAAGGUCUGCGGGUCGUAAAACUCUGUUGUUAGUGAAGAACAAGGACGUUAGUAACUGAACGUCCCCUGACGGUAUCUAACCAGAAAGCCACGGCUAACUACGUG
This 508-nucleotide ribosomal RNA is filed under the name uncultured bacterium. Its description in RNAcentral is "partial 16S ribosomal RNA". It matches the Rfam family "Bacterial small subunit ribosomal RNA", at positions 28 to 507 of the family's 1533-position model. The record is from RNAcentral.